RNAcentral lists this ribosomal RNA (464 nucleotides) under Vreelandella stevensii. Its description in RNAcentral is "partial 16S ribosomal RNA". It matches the Rfam family "Bacterial small subunit ribosomal RNA", at positions 338 to 795 of the family's 1533-position model. Lineage: Bacteria; Pseudomonadati; Pseudomonadota; Gammaproteobacteria; Oceanospirillales; Halomonadaceae. The record is from RNAcentral.
CCUACGGGGGCUGCAGUGGGGAAUAUUGGACAAUGGGCGAAAGCCUGAUCCAGCCAUGCCGCGUGUGUGAAGAAGGCCUUCGGGUUGUAAAGCACUUUCAGUGGGGAAGAAAGCCUUGGGGCUAAUACCCUCGAGGAAGGACAUCACCCACAGAAGAAGCACCGGCUAACUCCGUGCCAGCAGCCGCGGUAAUACGGAGGGUGCGAGCGUUAAUCGGAAUUACUGGGCGUAAAGCGCGCGUAGGCGGUCUGAUAAGCCGGUUGUGAAAGCCCCGGGCUCAACCUGGGAACGGCAUCCGGAACUGUCAGGCUAGAGUGCAGGAGAGGAAGGUAGAAUUCCCGGUGUAGCGGUGAAAUGCGUAGAGAUCGGGAGGAAUACCAGUGGCGAAGGCGGUCUUCUGGACUGACACUGACGCUGAGGUGCGAAAGCGUGGGUAGCAAACAGGAUUAGAUACCCUAGUAGUC